CUUGGUCAUUUAGAGGAAGUAAAGGUCGUAACAAGGUCUCCGUAGGUGAACCUGCGGAGGGAUCAUUACAAGAACGCCCGGGCUUCGGCCUGGUUAUUCAUAACCCUUUGUUGUCCGACUCUGUUGCCUCCGGGGCGACCCUGCCUUCGGGCGGGGGCUCCGGGUGGACACUUCAAACUCUUGCGUAACUUUGCAGUCUGAGUAAACUUAAUUAAUAAAUUAAAACUUUUAACAACGGAUCUCUUGGUUCUGGCAUCGAUGAAGAACGCAGCGAAAUGCGAUAAGUAAUGUGAAUUGCAGAAUUCAGUGGAUCAUCGAAUCUUUGAACGCACAUUGCGCCCCCUGGUAUUCCGGGGGGCAUGCCUGUUCGAGCGUCAUUACAACCCUCAAGCUCUGCUUGGUAUUGGGCUCUGCCGGUCCCGGCAGGCCUUAAAAUCAGUGGCGGUGCCAUUCAGCUUCAAGCGUAGUAAUUCUUCUCGCUUUGGAGACCCGGGUGCGUGCUUGCCAGCAACCCCCAAUUUUUUCAGGUUGACCUCGGAUCAGGUAGGGAUACCCGCUGAACUUAAGCAUAUCAAUAAGCGGAGGAAAAGAAACCAACAGGGAUUGCCUCAGUAACGGCGAGUGAAGCGGCAACAGCUCAAAUUUGAAAUCUGGCCUCACGGUCCGAGUUGUAAUUUGUAGAGGAUGCUUCGAGCAUGGUCUGGCCUAAGUUCCUUGGAACAGGACGUCAUAGAGGGUGAGAAUCCCGUAUGCGGCCAGGUGCCUACGCUCAUGUGAAGCUCCUUCGACGAGUCGAGUUGUUUGGGAAU
Molecule: small RNA, 809 nt
Filed under: uncultured Chrysosporium
Lineage: Eukaryota; Fungi; Ascomycota; Eurotiomycetes; Onygenales
Description: eukaryotic LSU rRNA
Rfam family: Eukaryotic large subunit ribosomal RNA (bases 530-809)
Source: RNAcentral